RNAcentral lists this ribosomal RNA (253 nucleotides) under uncultured bacterium. RNAcentral describes it as "partial 16S ribosomal RNA". It matches the Rfam family "Bacterial small subunit ribosomal RNA", at positions 524 to 776 of the family's 1533-position model. The record is from RNAcentral.
UACGAAGGGGGCUAGCGUUGCUCGGAAUCACUGGGCGUAAAGCGCACGUAGGCGGAUCUUUAAGUCAGGGGUGAAAUCCUGGAGCUCAACUCCAGAACUGCCUUUGAUACUGGGGAUCUCGAGUCCGGAAGAGGUGAGUGGAACUCCGAGUGUAGAGGUGAAAUUCGUAGAUAUUCGGAAGAACACCAGUGGCGAAGGCGGCUCACUGGCCCGAUACUGACGCUGAGGUGCGAAAGCGUGGGGAGCAAACAGG